Long non-coding RNA from Callithrix jacchus (white-tufted-ear marmoset), 2431 nucleotides. NCBI's taxonomy places the organism in Eukaryota, Metazoa, Chordata, Mammalia, Primates, Cebidae. The record is from Ensembl.
CAGACUAACCUCAUUUAUUAAAAUAGAUUCAAAAGUGUAACACAAUAAAAAUGCUAACACACGAUUAAAUAUGCACAUUUGAAUUAAUCCCUUUAAUUGAUAAUGCUUGAGUUGAUUCUGCCUUGUUUUCCUAUUACUAAGAAAAUUCUUUCCACCUGCCCCUCCUAAGUAUUAUUUUGUUAUUCACUGCUUAUGCUUUUUGUUUUGUUUAUUAUUCCCUUGUUCAAGGCAAUUCUGUAAACUUCAUUUCUACAGGAAAUGUUAAACUACAGCAUAAUUGUGAGCAAGAAAGUGACUUACUACACUGGACCUUUACCAGGAUCGUUCUGUCCUUGGCAUGCAGAAUGUAUUCCAAGGGAAGAAGACAUACUGGAAAACCAGUUAGAACGCGUCCAUGAGAUGGACAGUGUGUGCGAUGACCAAGAUGUGAGUAAAUUAUCAUGAAGUCAUUAGGGUGGUCCCUAAUCCAGUAAGGCCUUAUAAGAUGAGAAGAAAUAACAGACACAAAUGUACAGAGAGGAGAAUGCCAUGUGAUGACAGAGGCAGAGACAUGAAUAAUGUGUCUACAAGCCAAGGAAUGUCAAAGACUGCUAGCAACACCAGAAGCUAAUGUGAAAAAACAAUUCUCCCUAGAACUUCCAGAAAGAGCAUGGGCCUGCGGACACCUUGAUUUCAGAAUUUUAUUUAGCCUCCAGAACUGUGAGACAAUAAAUUUAUUAUUGUUUUAAGUCAGUCGGUUUGUGGUAAUUUGUUAUAGCAACUCUGUAACAUUAAUAUAGGUAAGUAACCUAACUUAUUCCCAUUUCAGGAUUUUCCCUCUUUAGAGAGACAUAAUAACUCCUGUUGAAAAUUUAGAAUCUCUGUAGUCUGAGUUUCCUCAUCAGCAAAAUAGGAAUAAUAAUAAUAUCCUGUCACAAUGUUGUAAGAAUUAAAUGAGAAUUAAUAUGUGUAAAGCACUUCACCUGUACCUGAAACAUAGAAAAGGUUUCCUAAGUAUUUGUCAAUUUAUUAUUAAAUUUCAUAACCCAUGGAAUAUGCUUGACAUAGUGCCAAAAACAUGUAAGUUUUUGUUAAAUAUUAUUAUUCUGAUUAACUAACAGUUAUCUAAAAUACUUACAAGGUGCCUCAAGCAUAGCAAGCUUUUAAUAAAUGUAUGCUAUUAUAAGUACUAUUGAAAAUAAUUGAUCCUUUAAGUUAGUUUAAGUUUCUAUUGAAACUACAAAAUUAAUCCUCGAAAUGCUAAAAUGAAUUGCUUCAAACUAGGUACUUCAUGAGUUCUUCCUUCAUGAGUUCUCAAGUCUGGAUGUCCACUGGUUUAAAUUUUAGAAAGUUAAAACUGUAUAGCAAUUUUACUUAUUCUUAACGGAGGCGAAGACGGGAAUGUCUCAACUACAAUUCAAAGGAACACAUUUCUCUAAAAAUAUUUAUGAAAAGUGUAUCAGUGCCAAGAAUUGUGCUACCUUGGGGGAGGAAAUAAAAUAGGUAUAAUACUAGUCACUACUAAGCUUGUAGUGCACUGAAGAGAUAGCUAUCAAGAUGAGGGUGAAAUUUAAAAACAGUGAGUAUCCUGCAGUGGUAACAUAAGGUGCGUUCUGAACACAUAGCAGGGGGAGCGAAUUUCAAAUGGGCGGUAGACGAGUAUUACUAGAAGAGGAGAUAUACUGCUAAAACAAAAGAGUAAGAAUAGAUAUCACAGAGAUUAAUGUCCUAAAAUUACUGUAAUUAUACAAAAGAUUGCCCUGCUUCCAGGUGGCUCAUUCCUGUAAUCCCAGUACUUUGGGAGGCUGAGGCGGGUGGAUGAUCUGAGGUUGGGAGUUUGAGACCAGCCUGGCCAACAUGGUGAAAACCCAUCUCUACUAAAAAUACAAAAAUUAGCCAAGCAUGGUGACACGUGCCUGUAGUCCCAUCUAUUUGUGAGACUAAGGCAGGAGAAUAGCUUGAACCUGGGAGGUGGAGGUUGCAGUGAGCCAAGAUCGUGCCACUGCACUCCAGCCUUGGUGACAGCAAGAUUUCAUCUCAAAUAAAAAAAAAAAUUGCCCUGCUUUAGAAAAUAAACAUUAAAGUAUUUAUGGAAAAAGACAUCAUACUGUACCUGAAUCUUACUUUAAGCUAGUUCAAUAAAAUAUUAUGUGUAUACAGUAAUAUACUGCAGAAUGGUGUCCUGGACAAUUAUGAACUGCAUAUGUGAUGGUGGUUUCAACGCUUAUAAAUCUAUAUUUUUAGUGUAUGUUUUCUAUGUUUAGGUACACAAAUACCUCACCAUUGUGGUAUAACUGCUUACUGUAUUCAGCACAGUAACAUUCUGCACAGAUUUGUAGCCUAGGCACAGUAGGCUACACCAUAUAGACUAGAUGUGUAGUAGGCUAUACCAACUUGGUUUUUGUAAGUACAUUCUAUAAUGUUUAUACAACAAAAUCACCAAAAAGCCAAU